Molecule: ribosomal RNA, 301 nt
Filed under: uncultured bacterium
Lineage: Bacteria
Description: partial 16S ribosomal RNA
Rfam family: Bacterial small subunit ribosomal RNA
Source: RNAcentral
CAGUAGCCGCGGUAAUACGAGGGGGGCAAGCGUUGUUCGGAAUUAUUGGGCGUAAAGGGUGCGUAGGCGGUUUGGCAAGUCUUAUGUGAAAUCUUCGGGCUCAACCCGAAGUCUGCAUGAGAAACUGCCGGGCUUGAGUAUGGGAGAGGUGAGUGGAAUUUCCGGUGUAGCGGUGAAAUGCGUAGAUAUCGGAAGGAACACCUGUGGCGAAAGCGGCUCACUGGACCAUAACUGACGCUGAGGCACGAAAGCUAGGGGAGCAAGCAGGAUUAGAUACCCCCGUAGUCCCUGUCUCUUAUAC